This is a long non-coding RNA of Ornithorhynchus anatinus (platypus), 769 nucleotides long. RefSeq lists it as uncharacterized. Lineage: Eukaryota; Metazoa; Chordata; Mammalia; Monotremata; Ornithorhynchidae. The record is from RefSeq and is a predicted model, not a curated record. The transcript is spliced from 3 exons.
GAAAACAACCGAACCCUAAAAGUCCACGAACAGCGCUGAUAAACGACUCCUGUUUUUCCUGCAAUUAUUUUUCGAGAAAGAAAAAAAAAUGGAGAAUCUACAGAAGCAAAUUAAAAUGUCACGUAUUUUCUCUGCUCUGUGAGUCAAGUUCCCCUGCUUUUCUGACGCCGAUCCCAGCUUCGGCAGGAACGUGAAAACACGAAACAAUCCUCUGUUCAACGACCACUUAGUGCCGGAUAUCAGACGAAUGGAAGGACAGAGGAGGAACAGUAGCAUGAGAAAGGAAUCUGUGCUCAGGAACCUCUCGAAGAACAACUCCACCUUGAACCACUUUAGGGAUGAAAAAGAGGGAAACGAAUCAAACAGACAACUUCAACCUAACAGAGGAACAUUUUCUUUAUAUGACCUUAAGGGCCCCCUAAGACCCUCUUGGAAAUUCAGUGCCGCCACCAUGACACCUGGCCAGACAGAAGAGCAAGAGGUGGAAGAAGAUACCUUUGGCAGCUUAAUUUCUCCACUGGACUGAGAAGCUGUGGUAACUGAUUGCCACCGCUGCUCUACGCGGUUUUGAGGGUUCCAGGGACUAACUCUGUAUGGAGUGCCAGAAACCCAGGAGAGUCUUUCUUGCUCCCUUUGUGUUUCGCUUUCUCUGUCCAGAUUGCCGUCUGGGGUUCUGUCUCUCUCUCGCCUCUCAGUGUCUUUCUCCUGCUCUCUUUCUUACUCUGUGGGCACGGUUCUUCAAUAAAAUAUUAUGUGAAAAAAAAUCAAA